Molecule: transfer RNA, 72 nt
Filed under: Lentimicrobiaceae bacterium
Lineage: Bacteria; Pseudomonadati; Bacteroidota; Bacteroidia; Bacteroidales; Lentimicrobiaceae
Description: tRNA-Met
Rfam family: tRNA
About the family: Transfer RNA (tRNA) molecules are approximately 80 nucleotides in length. Their secondary structure includes four short double-helical elements and three loops (D, anti-codon, and T loops).
Source: RNAcentral
UGCGGGGUGGAGCAGCGGUAGCUCGUUGGGCUCAUAACCCAAAGGUCGGAGGUUCGAUUCCUUCCCCCGCUA